CAGUAGUUGAGGCGGUCAUUAAAGCCACAUUCCCUAGCCCUGGAUCUGUUAGACAGUUGCCACACUCAGGUAAGGCUGGGCCUAUCCGUUGUCCUUCCUGUGCUAUGAAACUGGGGUCAAAUGGGGUGCUAUCCAGAUCACUAUCCAGUGAGAAUUGUCACAAAGGUCGUGGUGACUCACCCAGGAAAUGCAAAUCCAAAAGUACACCAAAGU
Molecule: long non-coding RNA, 213 nt
Filed under: Homo sapiens (human)
Lineage: Eukaryota; Metazoa; Chordata; Mammalia; Primates; Hominidae
Description: non-protein coding lnc-SPINT3-1:1
Source: RNAcentral